AGCAGCCACCUUUUAAAACGCGUCAAAGCGUAACCUUAACCCCCAAAUACCAUUAAUCUUCAUGAACCCUCAAUUUAUAAUGAAUGACUCCAUAUUUAUAUGGAAGACACCAUGCUAGGAUUAGUAACAAGAAUUUAUAAUUCUCCAAAAUGCAAGUAUAAACCAACAUGGAUAGACCAUUGGUAGUCACCGAAUCUAAAUUUACUGCAAUAACACCCACAAGAAAACUCUGCAGUACUUACUCGUUAACCUAACACCAGCGCAUUAUAGGAAAGAUUUAAAAAAAGAGAAGGAAUUCGGCAAAUGACGGCCCCGCCUGUUUACCAAAAACAUCGCCUCUUGACUUGUAAUAAGAGGUCCAGCCUGCCCAGUGAAUUUUAAACGGCCGCGGUAUCCUAACCGCGCGAAGGUAGCAUAAUCACUUGUUCUUUAAAUGGGGACUUGUAUCAACGGCAUCACGAGGGUUUUACUGUCUCCUCUUUUUGAUCAGUGAAAUUGAUCUUCCCGUGAAGAAGCGGGAAUAAGCUUAUAAGACGAGAAGACCCCAUGGAGCUUAAAACCAAAUAACAACUUAACCACUUACCCCACUAUAAAUUUAAGCCCUGUUAUAAGGUUUUUGGUUGGGGUGACCGCGGAGUAAAACACAUCCCCCACGACGGAAAGAACACACUCUUUAUUUAAGAACCACAAUUCUAGAAAUUAGUAUACUAACGUUUACUGACCCGACAAUCGAUCAACGGACCAAGUUACCCUGGGGAUAACAGCGCAAUCUACUUCAAGAGCCCAUAUCGACAAGUAGGCUUACGACCUCGAUGUUGGAUCAGGGUAUCCCGGUGGUGCAGCCGCUACCGAAGGUUCGUUUGUUCAACGAUUAAAACCCUACGUG
This 886-nucleotide ribosomal RNA is filed under the name Polypedates leucomystax (Java whipping frog). Its description in RNAcentral is "partial 16S ribosomal RNA". It matches the Rfam family "Bacterial large subunit ribosomal RNA", at positions 1111 to 2602 of the family's 2925-position model. The record is from RNAcentral. Lineage: Eukaryota; Metazoa; Chordata; Amphibia; Anura; Rhacophoridae.